This 87-nucleotide microRNA precursor is filed under the name Marmota monax (woodchuck). The record is from RNAcentral. Lineage: Eukaryota; Metazoa; Chordata; Mammalia; Rodentia; Sciuridae.
UAUGGCUGAGUAAAACUCCAUUGUAUGUGUGUGUGUGUGUAUAUAUAUAUAUACACACACACACACAUACAAUGGAGUUUAUAUAUA